This 423-nucleotide long non-coding RNA is filed under the name Brassica napus (rape). RNAcentral describes it as "long non-coding RNA (BNAP_LNC015090)". Lineage: Eukaryota; Viridiplantae; Streptophyta; Magnoliopsida; Brassicales; Brassicaceae. The record is from RNAcentral.
UCUCUCUUUUUUGUCUAAUCUUAGAAGUAAACUUCAAAACAAAUAUACCAAUCCAAUCACUUCAACUAAAACUCAACGACACAUACAUCGAGUCAGCUAAAGAAAUACAAACUACACAGCUAGCUAUUUAACAAUUUACAAACUUACUUUCGCAACGAAGAAGACGAAGACGACAACCAAAAUCAGUAAAAUUACCUAAACAAAAAAACAAAGUAAAUUACGAACUCUGAUAAAUACUGCUAACAAUGAUUUUUGUUUACAUAUUACCCGUCAAAUAAAAGAUAAACAAACACAUCUACACGAGGAGAUACAAGAGACAAUCCUGACAGACACAAAGACAACAACAACAUCUCCACCUGCUCCCUACUCUUGUCUUAUAAAAAUAGCUUACAUGCCCAAUAUCAACAUGCCAAUGCUAUUGUC